Molecule: ribosomal RNA, 290 nt
Filed under: uncultured bacterium
Lineage: Bacteria
Description: partial 16S ribosomal RNA
Rfam family: Bacterial small subunit ribosomal RNA
Source: RNAcentral
GCCUACGGGGCGCAGCAGUGGGGAAUAUUGCACAAUGGGGGAAACCCUGAUGCAGCGACGCCGCGUGAAGGACGAAGUAUUUCGGUACGUAAACUUCUAUCAGCAGGGAAGAAAAUGACGGUACCUGACCAAGAAGCCCCGGCUAACUACGUGCCAGCAGCCGCGGUAAUACGUAGGGGGCAAGCGUUAUCCGGAUUUACUGGGUGUAAAGGGAGCGCAGGCGGCCUGCCAAGUCUGGUGUGAAAACCCGGGGCCCAACCCCGGGCCUGCAUUGGAAACUGGCGGGCUGG